UUUUAAUGUUUAAUGUUUAAUGUUUAAUGUUUAAUGUUCUAAAAGUCUCUAAUGGAGGAGGAAAGUCCAAAGGAGGAAGAACAAAACAAAAUGAUGGAAAACUCUGAGUUCUUCCAUCUAUGUACGAAAUACACUGCCUUUUUCACAAGCCAUCAAACCAUUAACUUUCUUUUUCUUUUUAAUGGUUGUGUAAGAGCUCUUUUACUGUGUCUUUUACUGUAAAAGCACCUCUCAAAAAUUCUACAAACAUAUUAUAAAUCAUCCUAUUCUUUAAUGAAGCAAUUCAAUUAUAUAUUGUUAAUGAUUCACUCCUUCUAGUGGCUUCCAUAAUACAAUGCUCUCCUGAUUUUCCUCAUACUUCUCUCCCUUAAGCAGUGGAGUUUCUGGGGUUCUGCUAUAGGCCUCUUCUUUCAUCACCCUACCCUUUCAUCUCCUCAGUCAUCAAUCCCAUGGUUUCAAUGACCACCUAUGUGGAAAUGACAUAAAUAUGUUUCUGCAGCAUCGACCUGUCUUCUAAGCAACAGAUCUAAAUAUCCAACUGCCUAUAAACAAAAUAUGAAUGCCUCCCAGGUACUUCAAAACCAACAUGUACAAAACUAAGUCAUCACCUUGCCCCCAAACCUUUUCUUGCUCCUUUAUUCUUUAUCUCAGUGAAUGGCACCACCAUACAUCCAGUUAUCCAAGCUAGUAACCUAGAAACCAUUCUUGGUUCCUCCUUCCCCUUCAACUCCCACAGGAAAUUCUACUUCCUAAAUAUUUCUGAAGUUCACCCACCUCUCCCAAACCCAGGCAACUCCCCUAAUUCAUGGCACUAUCAUCUUACACCCUCUUAGUAAAGUCUUUUCAUCCAACCCAUUCUCCACACAGAAGCCAGAGAGAUUCUUAUAAAUCAGAAAUCACAUCCCAUAACUCCAUGAUAAGAAGGGCUUAAAACCCUUUAGUCACUCUUAGGAUAAAGUCCAAACUUACACUACAUGACUUUAAAAGUCCUUACUUGCCCAGCCUAUCUCUCCACGUUCAUUUUUCCUCCCUCCUCCUUCACCAACACAUCCCAAGUCUCUUGUUUUCUCUUGUCUCUGAGCUUCUGUGCAUGCUGCUGAUUCUGUAGAACCCUCUUCCCUUCCACCUAGCCCUGUGCACUUGGCCUAUUUCUACUCAUGCUGAGAUUAAGUGACUCCUCCCAGGAAAAGCCUCCUCAGACUCCCCUGGACUAUGAAGGGCUCCUAAAGCACCCUAUACUUCUCCCAAUCUAAGCAUGGAUCACAUUUCACUUUUGUUUACUUUUUUUUAAAUCAGCUUUGUUGAGGUUUAAUUUACGUACAAUUAAAUUAGCCAAUUUAAGUGUAUAAUUUAAUACAUUUUAACAAAUGUAUCAGUUGCAUAACAACCACCACAAUCAAGAUACGAAACAGUUCUACCAGCCCAAAAAGUUCUAUUGUGCUUUUUUCCAGUCAAUCCUCUCACCACACCUCUGGUUUAAGAUUAGCCACUGAUCUGCUCUGUCACUAUAGUUCAACCUUCUCCAGAAUAUCAUAUAAAUGGAAUCAUACAUACAUACAUAGGCAGUCAUUUGUAGCUAGCUUCUUUCACUUAACAUAAUGCUUCUGACAUUCAUUCUUACUGUUGCAUGGAAGAGUAGUUAAUUUCUUUUUCUUUUUUUCCUUUUCUCUCUCGUUUUUUUUUUUUUUUUUUCUUUUCCUGCUGUGUAGCUUUCCAUUGCAUGGAUGUACCAGUUGUUUAUCCAUUCACCUGUUGUUUCCAAAAUGCUUGUUUCUAGUUUGGAGCUAUUAGGAGUACAGCUGCUAUGAAUAUUUGCUUACAAGUCUCUGUCUGGACAUAUAUUUUCAUUUUUCCUAGGCAAAGACCUCCGAGUAGGAUUGUUGGAUCAUAUAGUUUUGGUUACUACAAGUAAAGCUGUUAUGAAGAUGCAAGUACAAGUCUUUGUAAGAACAUGAAGCAUGGCAAUGUUAAUAUUAAUGUAGUAUUCAAAGCAAAAUGCAUUAACUAGGACAAGAGAGAGCUCUAUACUGAUAACUACCAAAAAGAUUUUGGUCAAAGCCUUUAGAGAAGCCUUCACAGCAAAUUUCCAUUGUUGCCAAGGAUCUGUCCUGAACAAGACACCAGAUGAUUUUACAGGAAAGUUCUGCGAGCUUUUAAAGGAAUGGAUAGUUCCCAUGAUUUUCAACUGGUUCCAUAGCAUAGGGAAGAAAAUAAAAACCUUCCAAACUAAUUUUAUAAGGCUAGUACAACUCUGAUCCAAAAGCCUGACAAAGUGGCAACUGCCCUCCUCCUAAAAAAACAAAGAAUCUACCCACCAAAACUUCCACAAUAACAAGGUACUAUCCAUUUGUUUCUACUAAGAAGUUGUCCUUCCUCAAUCCCCAAAAGAUGGCUGUAUUCUACUUCUGUGCAUCCCACAUUCUCCUUGGCCACUGGCAACUGUUGCUGCUAUAUCAUCUCAUCAACCCAGACAUAAUCCUCAUGACCAGCUGAUGCCAAUAAACUUUUAUCUCCUCUGUCUACCUCCAUCAAGUUCCUUACAGACUUGUUAGUUCCAAAGCAACACUUCAGAAAAUAUUCACAUACAAUUCAGAAGACUUAAGGAAUUAAUACUUUGUGCUUUAAGUCAUAACAAUAAAAUUUACUCCCAAUAAUA
Molecule: long non-coding RNA, 2656 nt
Organism: Equus asinus (donkey)
Lineage: Eukaryota; Metazoa; Chordata; Mammalia; Perissodactyla; Equidae
Source: Ensembl